CGGGCCGUAAAAAGACUUAAGUACCUAGGGUAAAUACCAACCAAACCAGACCAAACCUCGCGUUGAUCACUCGGCCGGGUGAAACGCGUCGAACUGGCUGGCGCGGCGGUGGUGCGGGCGGGCACUCUCAGCUCAGAGGGCCGGGCAACUCGGCGCUCCCCCACACCCGUACAGACGUCGGCCCCCGCCGGGACUUGCACUCCCGGACGAGGGCCUGACCAAAGAGGAAGCAGACCCUUCCCC
This 243-nucleotide non-coding RNA is filed under the name Streptomyces gancidicus BKS 13-15. RNAcentral's name for it is "Streptomyces sRNA 4677". It matches the Rfam family "Streptomyces sRNA 4677". From Rfam's summary of the family: Located in the intergenic region between anti-sigma factor SCO4677 gene and a putative regulatory protein gene SCO4676. scr4677 expression requires the SCO4677 activity and scr4677 sRNA itself seem to affect the levels of the SCO4676-associated transcripts. Lineage: Bacteria; Bacillati; Actinomycetota; Actinomycetes; Kitasatosporales; Streptomycetaceae. The record is from Rfam by way of RNAcentral.